UACGGAGGGUGCGAGCGUUGUCCGGAAUCACUGGGCGUAAAGGGCGCGUAGGCGGCGCGAUAAGUCGGAUGUGAAAUCCCGGGGCUCAACUCCGGGGCUGCAUCCGAGACUGUCGUGCUCGAGCGUGGUAGAGGCGAGUGGAAAUCCCGGUGUAGCGGUGGAAGGCGUAGAGAUCGGGAAGAACACCAGUGGCGAAGGCGGCUCGCUGGGCCAUUGCUGACGCUGAUGCGCGAAAGCGUGGGGAGCAAACAGG
RNAcentral lists this ribosomal RNA (253 nucleotides) under uncultured bacterium. Its description in RNAcentral is "partial 16S ribosomal RNA". It matches the Rfam family "Bacterial small subunit ribosomal RNA", at positions 524 to 776 of the family's 1533-position model. The record is from RNAcentral.